UACGGAGGGGGCUAGCGUUGUUCGGAAUUACUGGGCGUAAAGCGCGCGUAGGCGGCUUUGCAAGUCGGGUGUGAAAUCCCCAGGCUUAACCUGGGAACUGCAUUCGAGACUGCAUUGCUAGAGUAUGGGAGAGGGAAGUGGAAUUUCCGGUGUAGCGGUGAAAUGCGUAGAUAUCGGAAGGAACAUCAGUGGCGAAAGCGGCUUCCUGGACCAGUACCGACGUUCAGGCACGAAAGCGUGGGGAGCAAACAGG
RNAcentral lists this ribosomal RNA (253 nucleotides) under uncultured bacterium. RNAcentral's name for it is "partial 16S ribosomal RNA". It matches the Rfam family "Bacterial small subunit ribosomal RNA", at positions 524 to 776 of the family's 1533-position model. The record is from RNAcentral.